Panicum virgatum (switchgrass) is the source of this 943-nucleotide long non-coding RNA. RefSeq lists it as uncharacterized. The transcript is spliced from 3 exons. The record is from RefSeq and is a predicted model, not a curated record. Lineage: Eukaryota; Viridiplantae; Streptophyta; Magnoliopsida; Poales; Poaceae.
UCUGUCCCUCAAGCAGGAUAGCAUCCAGGUCGCCCAAUAUUCUACCCGUCAGAGGGUACAAUUUUCAAUAGCUGUGAAGAGGCGAGAGAUAUUUUUUAAUCUUUAUUCAUGAGAAAUUGGUUUUGGUGUUCGCUACGGACGAAGUAACAAGAACAACAAGGGUUAUAGGACAAGGCAAGAUAUUGUUUGCUCAUGUGAGGGCUCAUCACGGAUCAGCAAUUGUGCUUCUGUAAGGACUGGGUGUAAAGUGAUGAUAAGGUUGCUUAGAACUAGUGUGAUCAUGGAUGGUAUAUUAGCCGAGUGAACACAAGCCACAACCACAAAUUAUCCGAGGGGUAUGCAGAGAAGAAACAAUGGAAUUCUCACAGAAUGAUAGAUGCAACCACCAAGUAUUAUCAAGAAACAAAGAGACAACAAUGUGAUGUUACAUUUGGACAGGCAAGAAAUACCAAAGUUUAAUAUAAUGCAAAGAUGGACAAAGGAGGCAAUUGUAUAUAAUAUAAAUCACAGGCACAUGACAGUGAUAUAGGAUCAGAUGCAGAUCAAAUGAGAAAGAAGGCUUUGCUGAUGAUGCAGACUCUUCAGUUAGUCCAUGGACCUACUGCUGUUGACGAGCAGAUGUUCAGGAAUGCUAUGGAAGCUUUAAGGGCUCUUCCUGCAGUGCAGUGCACCGAUGGAGUAAUUGUUCAAUCUGGCAUGAGUAGCAUGGACAUUGAGCAUGAGCAGCUCCCUGUUUCUUGUCCUGAGAGGACAAUGAAAGGUGGCCGGCCACUUAGUACUGGACUUAAGGCGUGGCUAUCAAGGAACGAUAAGAAAAGGAUCUCAGAAUGUUCAUCAAGGGAUCCAUUAGCUGAAGACUGGCCUGAGGAAGAGAGGCCUGAUAGGAAGAAGACCCGGCGCAUAAUUGAUAUUUGAUAGGCGAAGAUGUAGUAUAGUUUAUUUU